AAAUAUUUUAUCCCAUCAUUAAAAAUGUCAUGAACAUUCUAGUAUUCUAAUUUCUAAUUCAAUGUGCUUUUCUAUUUUUGAAUGUUGAACAUUGAUUGACAGAUACAUUUUAUUUGUUCUGUAGAGAAGGCCCAUGGAGUUGAUGGAAGAAUCCUUUAAUUCAUGGCCACUUGCUCAGCUGGGCCAGGGGUGCUUUAAUUAGGUCAGGUGGAAAUGGCCGACAGAUCUCAACUUCAUAAAAGGAGGAAAUCGCCAUCACCCGAUCUGGUUGCUUUCUCUUCCUUAGCUCCGUCUAAUCCAGACGGUCUCUGCGUCCAUGAAUCCACCACAGACUACCCAUAAUUGUCACAGAAACAAUUACAUCAGCCUGAACUCCC
Long non-coding RNA from Oncorhynchus tshawytscha (Chinook salmon), 377 nucleotides. The record is from Ensembl. NCBI's taxonomy places the organism in Eukaryota, Metazoa, Chordata, Actinopteri, Salmoniformes, Salmonidae.